Long non-coding RNA from Helianthus annuus (common sunflower), 1410 nucleotides. RefSeq lists it as uncharacterized. The transcript has 8 exons. The record is from RefSeq and is a predicted model, not a curated record. NCBI's taxonomy places the organism in Eukaryota, Viridiplantae, Streptophyta, Magnoliopsida, Asterales, Asteraceae.
UCUUCUCUGCCUUUCUAGAACAUUGAAACCCUAGAUAGAACACUUUCUCUCUCGAUUCUCUCUGCGUAAAUCUUGAGAAUAUCAUCGGCGAUGCAGGCUUUUAUCUACUUUUCCGAUUAACAUCUGAUAACAUCAAGGAAUAAUGAUGAUGAUGGAAUUGAUGAGAAAAAUAUUAUGAAUUGUAAAAGGGUUUUCAAUAAGAAAAGAAAGUAUGCAAUGAAAACCAGUUUGCCGUAAAGAAGGGAACUUGCUGAAGUGGUUUGGUAACAACAGAGGUGAUUUCAAUGUGCAGAUGGCAAUCGAAGUUGAGUUCAGUGGCUCUACGAUUCGGGUUAAUUGGUAACUUGUGUCUAGCAUUUUUGUUCUUCCCAGUGACUCGAGGAUCGUCUAUAUUGUUGCUGUUCGGGCUAACUUCUGAGGCCAGCAUCAAGUAUCACAUAUGGCUAGGCCAUAUUGUUAUGACCCUCUUCACUUCUCAUGGUGUUUGUUACAUUAUUUAUUGGAUAGUCACCAAGUAGACAUCAGAGAAGGCUUGAAAAUAUUCCAACGGUGAAUUCAGAAAAUGAAGAUAAAGCUCAUAAUUGUUAGAAUAUUUUCCACUUCAAAAGUCAACUUCUGUGAUGGUCCAAAAUAAUUGACCAGCACAAAGUUGUAAAUGGGCUGGUAGUUUGUAAUCAAGUCAUAAACAGGUUGUUUUUUUUUUUCAAAAAGGAUGAACCAUGGCAAGCCUCUUGGUGCAGUUCCCACACGUCUGAACGACCUUGCAACUUUAGUUGUCGGGACACACGUACCAAAGUUACGCAACCUUCAUCGCCAACACUGUAUUUGAAGCCACUGAUAACAGUACCAUAGCAUCAACGACAGUGAUCUACAAAAGGUGUUGUGACCCGUUUUCAACCUGAAUUCAUAUUGGCCCUUAAUGAUCCACAGUUAGUUGUUAUCACAUAUUUCUCGAGCUAAGCUGACCUUUAAACAUAUCGGGGUUUUCGUCAGCCAAAAAACUUUAGCAUUUAGUGGUAGCGCGUGGCUACGGUUGUGCGGUGGCUGAAUCGGGUGGUGAUCGGCGGCUGAUUCAUAGCCGUGAAUGGUGACAUAUAGCUGCCAUUCUGGUCAGUUUUGGGCUGAAGCCGUGAAUACAUUUCACUUAACGGGUCGUGCCUUGACCAGGUUCAUAUGCGGACACAAGUGAGAAAGAUGCAAUAUUUUUAUUAGGUGGUUCAUCGAAUCUGAUAUGUUAAGUCCAGUUUGACAAUCACAUUAGAGUUUCUUUUAUUAUAUACAAUUUUGAAUGAUAAUUAUCAAAAGUGGUGUGAUCUUAACUUUUGUUAGUUUUGAAGUAUUUGUUUAGAAAAGCAAUCUUUCAUCGUCAAGUUUAGCCAAAUGACAUUAAUAUUUAAAAGUACAUUCUCA